This 380-nucleotide ribosomal RNA is filed under the name Clostridioides difficile. RNAcentral describes it as "bacterial LSU rRNA". It matches the Rfam family "Bacterial large subunit ribosomal RNA", at positions 354 to 736 of the family's 2925-position model. Lineage: Bacteria; Bacillati; Bacillota; Clostridia; Peptostreptococcales; Peptostreptococcaceae. The record is from RNAcentral.
ACCACAGAAGGUAAUAGUCCUGUAUGUUAAACGAGAAGACUUUAGAUAUGAUCCAGAGUACCACGGGACACGUGAAACCCUGUGGGAAGCAGGAGGGACCACCCUCCAAGGCUAAAUACUACCUAGUGACCGAUAGCGUAUAGUACCGUGAGGGAAAGGUGAAAAGAACCCCGGGAGGGGAGGGAAAUAGAACCUGAAACCCUGCACUUACAAGCUGUGGAAGCACAUUUCUUGUGUGACCGCGUACUUUUUGUAGAACGGGCCAACGAGUUACGUUAAGUAGCAAGGUUAAGCACUUAAGGUGCGGAGCCGUAGCGAAAGCGAGUUUUAACUGAGCGUUCAGUUACUUGACGUAGACCCGAAACCGGGCGACCUACCCA